UACGGAGGAUCCGAGCGUUAUCCGGAUUUAUUGGGUUUAAAGGGUGCGCAGGCUGCUUUGUAAGUUAUAGGUGAAAUUUCGAUGCUUAACAUCGAAACUGCCUGUGAUACUGCAGAGCUAGAGACCAGUUGCAGAAGGCGGAAUGUGUAGUGUAGCGGUGAAAUGCUUAGAUAUUACACAGAACACCGAUUGCGAAGGCAGCUUUCUAAGCUGGAUCUGACGCUGAGGCACGAAAGCGUGGGUAGCGAACAGG
This 253-nucleotide ribosomal RNA is filed under the name uncultured bacterium. RNAcentral's name for it is "partial 16S ribosomal RNA". It matches the Rfam family "Bacterial small subunit ribosomal RNA", at positions 524 to 776 of the family's 1533-position model. The record is from RNAcentral.